This 731-nucleotide long non-coding RNA is filed under the name Anas platyrhynchos platyrhynchos (common mallard). RNAcentral describes it as "lncRNA (ENSAPLG00000027719.1)". The record is from RNAcentral. Lineage: Eukaryota; Metazoa; Chordata; Aves; Anseriformes; Anatidae.
GCCUGCUCAAUGCAGCAUGUAAACGAAACACUCAUUCUCAUUCUGACUACCAAUGGCCUUUUUUGUCUGCAAAGGGGACAAAAUUCACACUGUCUCAUGACUGCAGUGCUGAAAAGAGCAAAGUCACAAAACUCUAUAGGAUCCUUUGGUUUCUUAGCUGUGGAUUUUUCUGAAAAAAAAAAAAAAAGAAGAGAACUACGUUCAGCAAGCUUUCUGCAUAAGAUGGCAUUAAGGAUUGAAAUGAACUUUGGAAAAACAUUUAAAGUGGCUUGGCAAGAGAAGAUGUUGAGGCCAAAUGCAAGAAGAGGGUUGUAACCCUGGGGAGACAUAUGUACUGCUGUGCAGAGUCACAUAAGAGAACUGUCUGGCACCACGUGGAAACAGAGGUUUGAUAUAUUUUUUUCCUCAAUACCCAUAUUGUUAGCCGUAGCCCCAACUCAGAGCCCUGCUGGCAAAUGUAGCAAAUACAAAGAGUUUCAGCUACAACAGGGAUUUUGCAGUCUUGCUAAGCUAAGCAAUUUAAAGUUAGUCACUUCAUUUCCAACCACAGAUGAACAAUUGGCUGUUUUGAGGACAGUGUGGGCAGAGGGGCAAAACACUAAUGCCGUAAGGAGACUGAAUUGCUCUACUUCUUUAAAGCUUGCAACACUGUGUUGCACUGAAAGUAGGAGGAAACCAGCUGAGCAAUUCCUUCCAUGGCUGGAGGACUACAGUCACCAGGACUAUCAAGC